GUAGGAUCCAAGCGUUAUCCGGAUUUACUGGGCGUAAAGCGCGUGCAGGUGGUUUGGUAAGUUGGAUGUUAAAUCUCCCGGCCCAACUGGGAGCUGUCGUUCAAAACUGCCAAGCUAGAGGACGGUAGAGGGAGGUGGAAUUCAGGGUGUAGUGGUGAAAUGCGUAGAUAUCCUGAGGAACACCAGUGGCGAAGGCGGCCUCCUGGCCCGCUCCUGACACUAAGACGCGAAAGCUAGGGUAGCGAACGGGAUUAGACACCCCGGGUAGUCCUAGCCGUAAACGAUGUGAACUUGGUGUUGGUGGGGUAAAACCCCAUCAGUGCCGUAGCAAACGCGAUAAGUUCACCGCCUGGGGACCACGGUCGCAAGAUUA
RNAcentral lists this ribosomal RNA (373 nucleotides) under uncultured organism. RNAcentral describes it as "partial 16S ribosomal RNA". It matches the Rfam family "Bacterial small subunit ribosomal RNA", at positions 527 to 896 of the family's 1533-position model. The record is from RNAcentral.